Molecule: ribosomal RNA, 868 nt
Filed under: uncultured archaeon
Lineage: Archaea
Description: bacterial SSU rRNA
Rfam family: Archaeal small subunit ribosomal RNA
Source: RNAcentral
CUCGGGUUGAUCCUGCCGGACCUGACUGCUAUCGGAUUGGUACUAAGCCAUGCGAGUCGUUGUAGCAAUACAAGGCGGACGGCUCAGUAACACGUAGUCAACCUAACCUAUGGACGUGGAUAACCUCGGGAAACUGAGAAUAAACCGCGAUAGAUCAUUAUGCCUGGAAUGGCUUAUGGUUCAAACAAUUUAUUGCCGUAGGAUGGGACUGCGGCCUAUCAGCUUGUUGGUGAGGUAAUGGCCCACCAAGGCUAUAACAGGUACGGGCUCUGAGAGGAGAAGCCCGGAGAUGGGUACUGAGACACGGACCCAGGCCCUAUGGGGCGCAGCAGGCGAGAAACCUUAGCAAUGUGCGAAAGCACGACUAGGUUAAUCCGAGUGAUUUCUGUUGAAGAAAUCUUUUGUCAGUCGUAAAACCACAGACGAAUAAGGGGUGGGCAAGUCUGGUGUCAGCCGCCGCGGUAAUACCAGCACCUCGAGUGGUCAGGAGGUUUAUUGGGCCUAAAGCAUCCGUAGCCGGCUACGCAAGUCUCCGGUUAAAUCCAGCUGCUCAACAGAUGGGCUGCCGGAGAUACUACAUAGCUAGGGAGCGGGAGAGGUAGACGGUAUUCUGUGGGUAGGGGUAAAAUCCACUGAUCCAUAGAGGACCACCAGUGGCGAAGGCGGUCUACCAGAACGCGUUCGACGGUGAGGGAUGAAAGCUGGGGGAGCAAACCGGAUUAGAUACCCGGGUAGUCCCAGCUGUAAACGAUGCAAACUCGGUGAUGCAUUGGCUUAUGGCCAAUGCAGUGCCGCAGGGAAGCCGUUAAGUUUGCCGCCUGGGAAGUACGGACGCAAGUCUGAAACUUAAAGGAAUGGCGGGGGAGCA